GCCUUUGUGGUGUAACAGUUAGCACACUCGACGCAUAUUCGAGAGGUCUAGGUUCGAGUCCCAGCAAGGACA
RNAcentral lists this transfer RNA (72 nucleotides) under Stegodyphus mimosarum. It matches the Rfam family "tRNA". From Rfam's summary of the family: Transfer RNA (tRNA) molecules are approximately 80 nucleotides in length. Their secondary structure includes four short double-helical elements and three loops (D, anti-codon, and T loops). Further hydrogen bonds mediate the characteristic L-shaped molecular structure. tRNAs have two regions of fundamental functional importance: the anti-codon, which is responsible for specific mRNA codon recognition, and the 3' end, to which the tRNAs corresponding amino acid is attached (by aminoacyl-tRNA synthetases). tRNAs cope with the degeneracy of the genetic code in two manners: having more than one tRNA (with a specific anti-codon) for a particular amino acid; and 'wobble' base-pairing, i.e. permitting non-standard base-pairing at the 3rd anti-codon position. The record is from Rfam by way of RNAcentral. Lineage: Eukaryota; Metazoa; Arthropoda; Arachnida; Araneae; Eresidae.